Molecule: ribosomal RNA, 259 nt
Filed under: uncultured bacterium
Lineage: Bacteria
Description: partial 16S ribosomal RNA
Rfam family: Bacterial small subunit ribosomal RNA
Source: RNAcentral
UACGUAGGGGGGCAAGCGUUGUCCGGAAUCAUUGGGCGUAAAGAGCGUGUAGGCGGUCCGGUCAGUCGGUUGUGAAAGUCAAGGGCUCAACCCUUGAAUGCCGGCCGAUACUGCCGGGCUAGAGUCCGGAAGAGGUUAGUGGAACUGCGAGUGUAGAGGUGAAAAUUCGUAGAUAUUCGCAAGAACACCAGUGGCGAAGGCGGCUAACUGGUCCGGUUCUGACGCUGAGGCGCGAAAAGCGUGGGGGGAGCAAAACAGG